AAGAGAUAGGGUCCUCACGGGCCCGACCUCCAACCCUUUGUCUACCAAACCUCUGUUGCCUCGGCGGGUCGCCGGCUCCCUUCACGGGGUGCCGCCGUCGGCCUCGUGCUCUCGAGUGCCCGCCGCAGGACUAUUAAAAACUCUUUUUUGAACGAGUAUAAUCUGAGUGGAAUUUAAUGCUUCAAUUA
RNAcentral lists this unclassified non-coding RNA (188 nucleotides) under uncultured fungus. Its description in RNAcentral is "sequence contains ITS1". The record is from RNAcentral. Lineage: Eukaryota; Fungi.